Molecule: ribosomal RNA, 497 nt
Filed under: uncultured bacterium
Lineage: Bacteria
Description: partial 16S ribosomal RNA
Rfam family: Bacterial small subunit ribosomal RNA
Source: RNAcentral
GACGAACGCUGGCGGCGUGCCUAAUACAUGCAAGUUGAGCGCUGAAGGUUGGUACUUGUACCACCUGGAUGAGCAGCGAACGGGUGAGUAACGCGUGGGGAAUCUGCCUUUGAGCGGGGGACAACAUUUGGAAACGAAUGCUAAUACCGCAUAAAAACUUUAAACACAAGUUUUAAGAUUGAAAGAUGCACUUGCAUCACUCAAAGAUGAUCCCGCGUUGUAUUAGCUAGUUGGUUAGGUAAAGGCUCACCAAAGCGAAGAUACAUAAGCGAACCGAGAGGGGGACCGGGCAAAUUGGGACCGGGACACGGCCCAAACUCCUACGGGAGGCAGCAGGAAGGAAUCUUCGGCAAUGGACGAAAGUCUGACCGAGCAACGCCGCGUGAGUGAAGAAGGGUUUCGGAACGGAAAACUCUGGUGGUAGAGGAGAACGUUGGGGGGAGUGGAAAGCGCAUCAAGUGACGGUAACUACUCAGAAAGGGACGGCUAACUACGUG